AUAGACGACUAAUAUAGCCAAUCUUAAAUAGUAGUUUGGAAUUGAGGCAUAGUUGGUUGAUUGGGCGACAACAUACUGGAAUGUCAUGGACAAGAAUGUCGUGGUCCAUCAGAAAGUAAAGUGAAAGCAAUGGUUGUGCUUUUGAAUGAAAGGCUUCCAAAACACCUGAUAAAAUGAAGAAUAUAUAACUUGUGGGCUCAAUCCUUACCUCUAAUUUCAUUUGCUAAGAAUUUGUUCAAGUCUCUUG
Molecule: unclassified non-coding RNA, 247 nt
Filed under: Hevea brasiliensis (rubber tree)
Lineage: Eukaryota; Viridiplantae; Streptophyta; Magnoliopsida; Malpighiales; Euphorbiaceae
Source: RNAcentral